Molecule: ribosomal RNA, 432 nt
Filed under: uncultured bacterium
Lineage: Bacteria
Description: partial 16S ribosomal RNA
Rfam family: Bacterial small subunit ribosomal RNA
Source: RNAcentral
AACGAACGCUGGCGGCAUGCCUAACACAUGCAAGUCGAACGAGACCUUCGGGUCUAGUGGCGCACGGGUGCGUAACGCGUGGGAACCUGCCCUUAGGUUCGGAAUAACUCCCCGAAAGGUGUGCUAAUACCGGAUAAUGUCUUCGGACCAAAGAUUUAUCGCCUUUGGAUGGGCCCGCGUUGGAUUAGCUAGUUGGUAGGGUAAAAGCCUACCAAGGCGACGAUCCAUAGCUGGUCUGAGAGGAUGAUCAGCCACACUGGGACUGAGACACGGCCCAGACUCCUACGGGAGGCAGCAGUGGGGAAUAUUGGACAAUGGGCGAAAGCCUGAUCCAGCAAUGCCGCGUGAGUGAUGAAGGCCUUAGGGUUGUAAAGCUCUUUUACCCGGGAUGAUAAUGACAGUACCGGGAGAAUAGCUCCGGCUAACUCCGUG